CUGUCCGAUGCGCGUAGGCUACGACCGAUGUCAUAAAACCGAUGCGCACACGCCACGGUUAUUGCGUGCAAUCCUUAGCCAAUGUCGCCUGCCGUUAGCCGAUGCGUGCAGGCAUUGGCCGUUGUCGCCUGUCGUUGGCGGAUGGGAGAAGGCCUUGGCCGGUGGCGCCCAGUCGAUACGCACACACCACGGCAGAUGCGUGAAGGCAUUAGCUGAUUCUGCAUUCCGGUGGCCG
RNAcentral lists this long non-coding RNA (235 nucleotides) under Solanum tuberosum (potato). RNAcentral describes it as "long non-coding RNA (STUB_LNC000643)". Lineage: Eukaryota; Viridiplantae; Streptophyta; Magnoliopsida; Solanales; Solanaceae. The record is from RNAcentral.